This 2931-nucleotide ribosomal RNA is filed under the name Geodermatophilus sp. TF02-6. RNAcentral describes it as "bacterial LSU rRNA". It matches the Rfam family "Bacterial large subunit ribosomal RNA". Lineage: Bacteria; Bacillati; Actinomycetota; Actinomycetes; Geodermatophilales; Geodermatophilaceae. The record is from RNAcentral.
UGUGGUCAAGUUGGUAAGGGCACACGGUGGAUGCCUGGGCACCAGGAGCCGAUGAAGGACGUAGGAGGCUGCGAUAAGCCUCGGGGAGUUGCCAACCGAGCGUUGAUCCGAGGAUGUCCGAAUGGGGGAACCCCGCACCAGUCAUGUGGUGUGACCCGCGCCUGAACGCAUAGGGCGUGUGGAGGGAACGCGGGGAAGUGAAACAUCUCAGUACCCGCAGGAGAAGAAAACAACCGUGAUUCCGUGAGUAGUGGCGAGCGAAAGCGGAGGAUGGCUAAACCGUUUCCAUGUGAUACCCGGCAGGGGUUGUGGGAGCGGGGUCGUGGGGCGCGUUGUCGCAUCUCUGCCGGGAUGCGCGGAAGUGAGCAAGACCUGUUGUUAGUGGAAGGCCUCUGGAAGGGGUCGCCGGAGAGGGUGAGAGCCCCGUACACGAAAACGCAGGUCCUUUCGAUGCGUGUUCCCGAGUAGCACCGAGCCCGUGGAAUUCGGUGUGAAUCUGGCGGGACCACCCGCUAAGCCUGAAUACUCCCUGGUGACCGAUAGCGGACGAGUACCGUGAGGGAAAGGUGAAAAGUACCCCGGGAGGGGAGUGAAAGAGUACCUGAAACCGUGUGCCUACAAGCCGUGAGAGCCGCGAAUCGCGCUCCCUUGGGGGGUGCGGCGGUGAUUGCGUGCCUUUUGAAGAAUGAGCCUGCGAGUUAGUGGUGCGUGGCGAGGUUAACCCGGGUGGGGAAGCCGUAGCGAAAGCGAGUCCGAACAGGGCGUUUCUGCCGUCUGCGGGUGCAUCCAGUGGGUGUGUGCGUGGGUGGUGGGUUGAGUCGCGUGCUCUAGACCCGAAGCCGAGUGAUCUACCCAUGGCCAGGUUGAAGCGCGGGUAAGACCGUGUGGAGGACCGAACCCACCAGGGUUGAAAACCUGGGGGAUGAGCUGUGGGUAGGGGUGAAAGGCCAAUCAAACUCGGUGAUAGCUGGUUCUCCCCGAAAUGCAUUUAGGUGCAGCGUCGCGUGUUUCUUGCCGGAGGUAGAGCACUGGAUGGCUGAUGGGCCCGACAAGGUUACUGACGUCAACCAAACUCCGAAUGCCGGUAAGUGAGAGCGUGGCAGUGAGACUGCGGGCGAUAAGGUUCGUAGUCGAGAGGGAAACAGCCCAGAUCAUCGGCUAAGGCCCCUCAGCGUGUGCUAAGUGGAAAAGGAUGUGGGAUCGCCGUGACAACCAGGAGGUUGGCUUAGAAGCAGCCAUCCUUGAAAGAGUGCGUAAUAGCUCACUGGUCAAGUGGUUCCGCGCCGACAAUGUAGCGGGGCUCAAGCACACCGCCGAAGCCGUGGCACUUCACCAGCACCCUGUCGUUGCCCUGUGCGGGGGCGGCCAGGGGGUGGAGUGGGUAGGGGAGCGUCGUGUGGCGGGAGAAGCGGCGGUGUAAGCCAGCCGUGGACGCCACGCGAGUGAGAAUGCAGGCAUGAGUAGCGACAGGGGAGUGAGAACCUCCUCCGCCGGAAGACCAAGGGUUCCUGGGCCAGGCUAAUCCGCCCAGGGUGAGUCGGGACCUAAGGCGAGGCCGACAGGCGUAGUCGAUGGACAACGGGUUGAUAUUCCCGUACCCGCGAAGGAGCGUCCCUGCCGAAUCCAGCGAUGCUAACCGCGCCGUGUUCGGGCACUGCAUGCGUGUGGUGGCCGGAUGGGUGGCGUGGGAUCCGGACUGGUAGUAGGUAAGCGAUGGGGUGACGCAGGAAGGUAGUCGGUGCCGGUGAGUGGUGGUGCCGGUGCAAGGGUGUGGCCCGCGCCGCAGGGAAAUCCGUGGCGCUGACUUGGAUGUCGGGGGUGAGGCCUGAUGCAUAGCCGUGUGCGGCGAAUCCGAUGAUCCUAUGCUGCCGAGAAAAGCCUCUAGCGAGUUCUGAGCGGCCCGUACCCCAAACCAACUCAGGUGGUCAGGUAGAGAAUACCGAGGCGAUCGAGCGAACUGUGGUCAAGGAACUCGGCAAAAUGCCCCCGUAACUUCGGGAGAAGGGGGACCGGAGCCCGUGAAGCACCGUUUGCGUGUGGCGGCGGGAGCCGGUCGCAGAGACCAGUGGGAAGCGACUGUUUACUAAAAACACAGGUCCGUGCGAAGUCGUAAGACGAGGUAUACGGACUGACGCCUGCCCGGUGCUGGAACGUUAAGGGGACGGGUCAGCCGCACGUUGGUGUGGUGACGCUCAGAACUGAAGCGCCAGUAAACGGCGGUGGUAACUAUAACCAUCCUAAGGUAGCGAAAUUCCUUGUCGGGUAAGUUCCGACCUGCACGAAUGGCGUAACGACUUCUCAGCUGUCUCGACCACAGGCUCGGCGAAAUUGCACUACGAGUAAAGAUGCUCGUUACGCGCGGCAGGACGGAAAGACCCCGGGACCUUCACUGCAGCUUGAUAUUGGUGUUCGGUUCGGCUUGUGUAGGAUAGGUGGGAGACGCGGAAGCGGGCACGCCAGUGUUCGUGGAGUCGCCGUUGAAAUACCACUCUGGUCGGAUGGGAUGUCUAACCUGGGUCCGUGAUCCGGAUCAGGAACAGUGUCAGGUGGGUAGUUUAACUGGGGCGGUUGCCUCCUAAAGGGUAACGGAGGCGCCCAAAGGUUCCCUCAGCCUGGUUGGCAAUCAGGUGGCGAGUGCAAGUGCACAAGGGGGCUUGACUGUGAGACCGACGGGUCGAGCAGGAGCGAAAGCUGGGACUAGUGACCCGGCACCGGCGUGUGGAAGCGGUGUCGCUCAACGGAUAAAAGGUACCCCGGGGAUAACAGGCUGAUCUUCCCCAAGAGUCCAUAUCGACGGGAUGGUUUGGCACCUCGAUGUCGGCUCGUCGCAUCCUGGGGCUGGAGUAGGUCCCAAGGGUUGGGCUGUUCGCCCAUUAAAGCGGUACGCGAGCUGGGUUUAGAACGUCGUGAGACAGUUCGGUCCCUAUCCGC